This 889-nucleotide ribosomal RNA is filed under the name uncultured marine group I thaumarchaeote. Its description in RNAcentral is "SSU rRNA". It matches the Rfam family "Archaeal small subunit ribosomal RNA", at positions 12 to 906 of the family's 1478-position model. Lineage: Archaea; Thermoproteati; Nitrososphaerota. The record is from RNAcentral.
UCCCGCCGGACCUGACUGCUAUCGGAUUGAUACUAAGCCAUGCGAGUCUUUGUAGUAAUACAAGGCAGACGGCUCAGUAACACGUAGUCAACCUACCCUAUGGACAAGAAUAAUCUCGGGAAACUGGGCAUAAUUCUUGAUAGAUCAUAAUGCCUGGAAUGGUUUAUGGUUAAAAUGAUUCGUCGCCAUAGGAUGGGACUGCGGCCUAUCAGCUUGUUGGUGAGGUAAUGGCCCACCAAGGCGAUUACAGGUACGGGCUCUGAGAGGAGAAGCCCGGAGAUGGGUACUGAGACACGGACCCAGGCCCUAUGGGGCGCAGCAGGCGAGAAAACUUUGCAAUGUGCGAAAGCACGACAAGGUUAAUCCGAGUGAUUUCUGCUAAAGAAAUCUUUUGCCAGUCGUAAAACCGCUGGUGAAUAAGGGGUGGGCAAGUUCUGGUGUCAGCCGCCGCGGUAAAACCAGCACCUCAAGUGGUCAGGAUGAUUAUUGGGCCUAAAGCAUCCGUAGCCGGCUUUGUUAGUUUUCGGUUAAAUCCAUGUGCUCAACGCAUGGGCUGCCGAAAAUACUGCAUAGCUAGGGAGUGGGAGAGGUAGACGGUACUCAGUAGGAAGGGGUAAAAUCCUUUGAUCUAUUGAUGACCACCUGUGGCGAAGGCGGUCUACCAGAACAUGUUCGACGGUGAGGGAUGAAAGCUGGGGGAGCAAACCGGAUUAGAUACCCGGGUAGUCCCAGCUGUAAACGGUGCAGACUCGAUGAUGCAUUGGCAUAAUAGCCAGUGCAGUGUCGCAGGGAAGCCGUUAAGUCUGCCGCCUGGGAAGUACGUACGCAAGUAUGAAACUUAAAGGAAUUGGCGGGGGAGCUCCACAAGGAGUGAAGCUUGCGGUUCAAU